Long non-coding RNA from Trematomus bernacchii (emerald rockcod), 334 nucleotides. RefSeq lists it as uncharacterized. The transcript is spliced from 3 exons. The record is from RefSeq and is a predicted model, not a curated record. Lineage: Eukaryota; Metazoa; Chordata; Actinopteri; Perciformes; Nototheniidae.
GCUCCAGUCCAGCAGGUGGAGACAGGGAGCCUAGGGUCUGUGCUUCCACUGAGGAGGUGGCUCAAAGGAAGAGUGUGCCACUCCUAGUUAAGGAGCUUAAUGCAACACACCUGGGAAGGCACACUCUCAGCAGAGAAGCAAACAAUUCACUGGGAGAGGAGAAAGACUCAAGGAUUCAACCAAAGACGCUGCUGAAAGUGAUGGGAACGUCGCUGAUGUUGAUGUUUCCACCAGGAGCAUUCAGAGUGACCUCCUGAGAGGCAGAGAGCUCCAUCUGGCUGGCAGCAACUGCAGGAGUUCCAGGAGAAACACAUCCAUCAAGAACAACCUGAAC